GAUGAACGCGGGCGGCGCGCCUAACACAUGCAAGUCGAACGGUUAAAGCAUCUUCGGGAUGUGCAUAAAGUGGCGAACGGGCUGAGUAACACGUGGGCAACCUGCCCCUCGCAUCGGGACAGCCUCGGGAAACCGUGGUUAAUACCGGAUACUCCGCCACCCCCGCAUGGGGGAGGCGGGAAAGCCCAGACGGCGAGGGAUGGGCCCGCGGCCUGUUAGCUUGUUGGUGGGGCAGUGGCCCACCAAGGCGAUGAUGGGUAGCCGGGUUGAGAGACCGACCGGCCAGAUUGGGACUGAGACACGGCCCAGACUCCUACGGGAGGCAGCAGUGGGGAAUCUUGCACAAUGGGCGAAAGCCUGAUGCAGCGACGCCGCGUGCGGGACGAAGGCCUUCGGGUCGUAAACCGCUUUCAGCAGGGACGAGGCCGCAAGGUGACGGUACCUGCAGAAGAAGCCCCGGCUAACUACGUGCCAGCAGCCGCGGUAAUACGUAGGGGGCGAGCGUUAUCCGGAUUCAUUGGGCGUAAAGCGCGCGUAGGCGGCCUGCUAGGUCGGGAGUCAAAUCCGGGGGCUCAACCCCCGUCCGCUCCCGAUACCGGCUGGCUUGAGUCUGGUAGGGGAAGGUGGAAUUCCCAGUGUAGCGGUGGAAUGCGCAGAUAUUGGGAAGAACACCGGUGGCGAAGGCGGCCUUCUGGGCCACGACUGACGCUGAGGCGCGAAAGCUAGGGGAGCGAACAGG
RNAcentral lists this ribosomal RNA (739 nucleotides) under uncultured Coriobacteriaceae bacterium. Its description in RNAcentral is "bacterial SSU rRNA". It matches the Rfam family "Bacterial small subunit ribosomal RNA", at positions 28 to 776 of the family's 1533-position model. Lineage: Bacteria; Bacillati; Actinomycetota; Coriobacteriia; Coriobacteriales; Coriobacteriaceae. The record is from RNAcentral.